RNAcentral lists this ribosomal RNA (616 nucleotides) under uncultured Legionella sp. Its description in RNAcentral is "bacterial SSU rRNA". It matches the Rfam family "Bacterial small subunit ribosomal RNA", at positions 242 to 849 of the family's 1533-position model. The record is from RNAcentral. Lineage: Bacteria; Pseudomonadati; Pseudomonadota; Gammaproteobacteria; Legionellales; Legionellaceae.
UAGCUAGUUGGUAGGGUAAAGGCCUACCAAGGCGACGAUCGGUAGCUGGUCUGAGAGGAUGACCAGCCACACUGGAACUGAGACACGGUCCAGACUCCUACGGGAGGCAGCAGUGGGGAAUAUUGGACAAUGGGGGCAACCCUGAUCCAGCAAUGCCGCGUGUGUGAAGAAGGCCUGAGGGUUGUAAAGCACUUUCAGUGGGGGGGAGGAUACUUAGGUUAAGAGCUAGAGUAUUGGACGUUACCCACAGAAGAAGCACCGGCUAACUCCGUGCCAGCAGCCGCGGUAAUACGGAGGGUGCGAGCGUUAAUCGGAAUUACUGGGCGUAAAGGGUGCGUAGGUGGUUAAUUAAGUUAUCUGUAAAAUCCCCGGGCUCAACCUGGGCAGGUCAGAUAAUACUGGUUAACUCGAGUAUAGGAGGGGGUAGUGGAAUUUCCGGUGUAGCGGUGAAAUGCGUAGAGAUCGGAAGGAACACCAGUGGCGAAGGCGGCUACCUGGCCUAAUACUGACACUGAGGCACGAAAGCGUGGGGAGCAAACAGGAUUAGAUACCCUGGUAGUCCACGCUGUAAACGAUGUCAACUAGCUGUUGGUUAUAUGAAUAUAAUUAGUGGCGC